UACGGAGGUGGCAAGCGUUGUUCGGAAUUACUGGGCGUAAAGGGCGCGUAGGCGGCUUGGCAAGUCAGAUGUGAAAGCCCCGGGCUUAACCCGGGAAUUGCAUCUGAAACUGCUUUGCUUGAGUCCUGGAGGGGGUAGUGGAAUUCCCAGUGUAGCGGUGAAAUGCGUAGAUAUUGGGAGGAACACCUGCGGCGAAGGCGGCUACCUGGACAGUGACUGACGCUGAGGCGCGAAAGCUAGGGGAGCGAACGGGAUUAGAUACCCCGGUAGUCCUAGCCGUAAACGAUGGGCACUUGGUGUUGGGGGUAUUGAGUCCCCCGGUGCCGGAGUUAACACGUUAAGUGCCCCGCCUGGGGAGUACGGUCGCAAGACUGAA
Molecule: ribosomal RNA, 376 nt
Filed under: uncultured bacterium
Lineage: Bacteria
Description: bacterial SSU rRNA
Rfam family: Bacterial small subunit ribosomal RNA
Source: RNAcentral